AUUGAACGCUGGCGGCAUGCCUUACACAUGCAAGUCGAACGGCAGCACGGAGCUUGCUCUGGUGGCGAGUGGCGAACGGGUGAGUAAUAUAUCGGAACGUACCCAAGAGUGGGGGAUAACGUAGCGAAAGUUACGCUAAUACCGCAUACGAUCUAAGGAUGAAAGUGGGGGCUCGCAAGACCUCAUGCUCCUGGAGCGGCCGAUAUCUGAUUAGCUAGUUGGUGAGGUAAAGGCUCACCAAGGCAUCGAUCAGUAGCUGGUCUGAGAGGACGACCAGCCCAACUGGAACUGAGACACGGUCCAGACUCCUACGGGAGGCAGCAGUGGGGAAUUUUGGACAAUGGGGGCAACCCUGAUCCAGCAAUGCCGCGUGAGUGAAGAAGGCCUUCGGGUUGUAAAGCUCUUUUGUCAGGGAAGAAACGGUGAAGGCUAAUAUCCUUUGCUAAUGACGGUACCUGAAGAAUAAGCACCGGCUAACUACGUGCCAGCCGCCGCCGUAA
This 500-nucleotide ribosomal RNA is filed under the name uncultured bacterium. Its description in RNAcentral is "partial 16S ribosomal RNA". It matches the Rfam family "Bacterial small subunit ribosomal RNA", at positions 30 to 523 of the family's 1533-position model. The record is from RNAcentral.